GAUAUUUCAUUGAAUCUUUAAGGUGGUCUUUAUUAAGGCUGGCCACCGGUUAAGGUUCAAGGAAAAGAAAAUUCUUGACUUACAGGCUUUGGGUCCAAAUCAGUGCAAGUUCAGAAGGCAGUGGAAAAAUGAUCAUGCACUGAUACAGAAAAAUGUACUAAAAAUUUAUCAAAAAGCAGAUCACAUUAGCACCUCAUUUAUGCAACAUGAAUAUAUGUUUAUGUGCCCCACAUUUUUAACAGUGAAAUCUCUUGAUGAUGAGAUUGCUAUAAGCUUUUUCAGCGUUUUUUUUUCCUGAUAGUAUAUAAUCGCUGUAAACAAACAAAACAAAGUAAACACAAUUCAAAGGGGAGGGGGAGUAAAAAACAUUUCAGUUCCGUGAGAGCCACUAUUUCUUCCACGCGCUGCCAGAAUCAUCGCGUCGGAAAACGCUAGGAACCUUAAAGGGCCUUAGGAGCACGUGAUAACGACGGCGUAAUGUGACCAGAUUUACACAACUGUUGCACGACAAUAGUAAAAUGAUCGUGAACACAAAAAUCUAACGUUUCCGAAAUAAAUUCUAAUCGCCAGAGGCCGGUAAAGGCCUAGGUCUGGGGGCGCGGGGCAUAACGCAGGACACUGGGGGAAAGCGAUUUGCAGACAGGUGGCUUCGGAUCUCGGGGGACCAAAAGCCUUCAUACAUCUCAAGUUGGGGGACAAAAAGAGGGGCCGUGAUGGCUGACCAUUCGAAAUAAAAUAAACAAAAACAAGUAUUAAGGCAAACUUUUUUUUAAUAUUUUGGAAUACAUAAUUUACACAAAAGUAAUGCUAUCACCCUCCCCUGUGUGGACUCAGGCGAGGACUGGCCCUUCUCCUUAGAGAAGCAAGUGGCUUUGGGGAAGGCAAGGGACUUCCUGUAACAAUACAGCUCAUGAUAUUUGGAAUGACU
Non-coding RNA from Vicugna pacos (alpaca), 928 nucleotides. The record is from RefSeq and is a predicted model, not a curated record. Lineage: Eukaryota; Metazoa; Chordata; Mammalia; Artiodactyla; Camelidae.